This 621-nucleotide ribosomal RNA is filed under the name Spirulina sp. 2E4. RNAcentral describes it as "bacterial SSU rRNA". It matches the Rfam family "Bacterial small subunit ribosomal RNA", at positions 128 to 786 of the family's 1533-position model. Lineage: Bacteria; Bacillati; Cyanobacteriota; Cyanophyceae; Spirulinales; Spirulinaceae. The record is from RNAcentral.
GGCUGCUUGGAUGGGGUUACACUGGAACGGUUGCUAAAACCCAAUGUGCCGAGAGGUGAAAUAUUUUAUAGCCUGAAGAUGAGCUCGCGUCUGAUUAGCUAGAUGGUGGGGUAAAAGCCUACCAUGGCGACGAUCAGUAGCUGUUCUGAGAGGAAGAUCAGCCACACUGGGACUGAGACACGGCCCAGACUCCUACGGGAGGCAGCAGUGGGGAAUUUUCCGCAAUGGGCGAAAGCCUGACGGAGCAAUACCGCGUGCGGGAGGAAGGCCCUUGGGUCGUAAACCGCUUUUCUUAGGGAAGAAACCUGACGGUACCUAAGGAAUAAGCCUCGGCUAACUCCGUGCCAGCAGCCGCGGUAAUACGGAGGAGGCAAGCGUUAUCCGGAAUUAUUGGGCGUAAAGAGUCCGUAGGUGGUUCAUCAAGUCUGCGGUUAAAGAGUGCAGCUCAACUGCAUAAAGGCCGUGGAAACUGUUGAACUAGAGUAUGGUAGGGGUAGGGGGAAUUCCCAGUGUAGCGGUGAAAUGCGUAGAGAUUGGGAAGAACACCGGUGGCGAAAGCGCCCUGCUGGGCCAUAACUGACACUGAGGGACGAAAGCUAGGGUAGCGAAUGGGAUUAGUCC